RNAcentral lists this transfer RNA (40 nucleotides) under Epirrita autumnata (autumnal moth). Its description in RNAcentral is "partial tRNA-Met". RNAcentral also lists the same sequence under 1 other name. The record is from RNAcentral. Lineage: Eukaryota; Metazoa; Arthropoda; Insecta; Lepidoptera; Geometridae.
UGGGGUAUGAACCCAGUAGCUUAAUUUAGCUUAUUUUUAA